Non-coding RNA from Pelobates cultripes (western spadefoot toad), 218 nucleotides. Lineage: Eukaryota; Metazoa; Chordata; Amphibia; Anura; Pelobatidae. The record is from the annotation of a GenBank genome assembly.
GGGGGAGCUAGUCACUGGCCCUGGGCAAAACACAGGUCAGCAACAAUCAAUGACUCAUAGCAGGAAGUCUGGCUCAUUUAUUUACAGCAUUCAGGAGAUGGGGGAGGGGAAGGCAGAGCAGUUGACUUCCUCUGGAAUUUGUGUUUCAGGAAAGAGUGAGAGGUGCAGUUAUAGGGUGAGGGGUCCUGUGAUAGGUACAGGGCAGUUAUAGGGUGAGG